RNAcentral lists this ribosomal RNA (253 nucleotides) under uncultured bacterium. RNAcentral describes it as "partial 16S ribosomal RNA". It matches the Rfam family "Bacterial small subunit ribosomal RNA", at positions 524 to 776 of the family's 1533-position model. The record is from RNAcentral.
UACAGAGGUGGCAAGCGUUGUUCGGAUUUAUUGGGCGUAAAGGGUCCGUAGGCGGUUUGGAAAGUCGGAUGUGAAAUCCCACAGCUUAACUGUGGAACUGCAUUCGAAACUUCCAGACUGGAGUGUGAGAGGGGUAAAGAGAAUUCCUGGUGUAAGGGUGAAAUCUGCAGAGAUCAGGAAGAAUACCAGUCGCGAAGGCGCUUUACUGGCUCACAACUGACGCUGAGGGACGAAAGCUAGGGGAGCAAACGGG